CACCAGGCUUCCCUGUCCAUCACCAACUCCUGGAGCUUGCUCAAACUCAUGUCCAUUGAGUUGGUUAUGCCAGGUUAGCACAGAUGAAAGAAAGCUCCUCUUGAAAGAUGCUUACUAAGUUCUCCUCAGUAGCAUUAGUCACCACACACACACACACACACACACACACUUACUCCUGAGGGCUGAGACUGUGUUCUACUGCAGGAAAUUUAGGCUUCAUUUGGGGGCUGUAGGUGAGAUAUGGGUUUGAGAAGCAGUUGUUUAUUUCUGUCUCACCUUUUGACAAUAUUUGUUAGCAACUUGAAAGUUCGAAUGUUUUAGGUCUAGGCCCAUUGGACAGCACAGGGAUGUGUGUUUUCCAGCAUCCCUGCCAGGCUGGCAUUAGGUAUAAGCGUGCACGUAAUACGCAGUUCAGAAUGACUACACGUCUAGCCACAGUGAGUCACUGAAAUCAAAAACCGAAUCUCCUGAAGAACUGCAUCUAGGGGGAAAAGAUCUGUCAGCUCCCAAUAAAAGAGGCCCACUGGAGCAUGAGCUACAAUCAUAAUAAAAGCUAAUGAUAAUCCCCAGUAAAACUUUAUAGAGAACUUCUGUGUUAGCACAACGUUAAAGCAUCUUAACGGACCAUCUCGUCUAAACUCCACGGCCCCUCGCAGAAGGUACGAUUAGCUCUGCACCGGCAGCUGGGGAGACAGGGAAGCCAGGGAGAAGGCUCCGGCAGCAGUUCAGUACAGAGGUGGAAGCAAGAAGAGGUGAAGACCUUUGCCACUGCUUGUCUGCACCUUAAGCCCACUUAGAGGCUUGUUGUCCAUUUUAACCCGGCAAGUAGCCUGGAGCUCCUUCAAGGCUCAGCAGGGAAAUGCAGAGAUAACAAAGGAAGGCGGAGGAGGAAACUCUCUCCCCCCAGCUCUCUCCAGGCAGAAGUUGCUGAGCAGAAGGAGACAUUGCAUCCAAAGGAACAGACCCCAUGCCUGCACACCCUCAUUAGCUCUCUGCCUGGACCUUUAUUUGCCACAACUCCAGCCGUGGUCAGACCGAGAGAUCAGACCAAGUCUGGCUCUAGUGUCUCUUGUAGGAACUGCUUGGGGCCCAGACAGCUCCCGCUGAGCUGCUGAAGUCCUAGCAUUGGUCACAUCCCCUCCGUGGCAACCGGGGCUGCCAGCGGUGUCCUGCUGAAUUGUUCCCUGGACUUUCUCUGCUCAGUUCCUGUGCUCCAGCUCUGAGUUUAUAAAUGUUUACCAUACCCAGACCGAGCAAAUGUUUACAGUGAACCUUUACACAGAACCCAGGAAAGCUCCCUUUUAAUCCAGAAAAGUGUCCUGGCAAAAGGGAAAAAAAAAAGCCCACCGUGUUCAACGUGUGCCCAGCGGCUGCCUGCUGCCUGCAGCCCGCCUGGCUCUUUGUAAAGGCAAUGGAGGCCCAGCUGCAGCAAGUGUCCGUGCCUGUGGUCUUUGUGGAGUUUUCAGUGAGGACCUUUAUUCAGAGAGAAUACUGUUCUUUCACUAUUCCCAUAAAUCAGAAACUGCAGACGUCAAAGAGGAUUAGGUCACUUCGGGGGCUCCUGACUGAAGUUUAAGAAAGAGAGAGAGAGAGGAAAAAAAAAAAAAAAAGCAUAUUAUAUACAGUGAUAGAAGCAGGGAGGUGGGGGAAAUGUUAUGAAUUGUGUUCUGAAAAAUUCAGCUCAACAGUGCUAAUAGGGCCAAUAUUUAGGCUACAGUAUUUGGCUGGGUCUGUUAUGCAAUUCAUCUUCAGCAGGCAGACAACACAUAAUCUGACCCAGAGCCAAUUUUUUUUUUUAAUGGAAUUAAAUUAGUCACUAUUUAUAAGCCGAAGAGAUUUCAAAAAGGCUGUUUAAGGAGGGGCCAUUGUUUUUCCUGCUGGUGUGUUUGCCUUUCCAUCAUGCUGGAUUGCUUUUGUUUGACUGUGGUUUCUGAGGCAAAUAGUGGGCAGUAUUGGGCAGGAUAAUUCCAGCUGUCUGAGUACUUGGAUCAUUCAUCCUUAAAAUGGGGGUGAUAGAUUGGGAAACUCUAGACUGAGCAAGCAUUUGUGGGUUGGCAUGACAAUGGAAGAGAACUUCAUUCCCCAGAAUGGCUUCAAUCCCUUUCCCAUAUUUCUUUCCCCAGUAGAUCUAGAUCUAAAGAGAUGUCCCCCAAGUCACCUGAUCCAACACCUGCUGUGACAUAGCGCUAAAGCUACCUAGAGACCCACUCCUUAGCCUCCCACUCCAGCUUUUCCAAAAUCACCCAUCCUUUCUUACUCCUUUCUAUCCAAGUUCAUCUUCAGCAAACAAAUAUUGCUGACCCCAGGGAAGAUGGUACCAGUGGGUAAAGAACCCGCCUGCCAAUGAA
Long non-coding RNA from Bubalus bubalis (water buffalo), 2348 nucleotides. RefSeq lists it as uncharacterized. Lineage: Eukaryota; Metazoa; Chordata; Mammalia; Artiodactyla; Bovidae. The record is from RefSeq and is a predicted model, not a curated record. The transcript is spliced from 3 exons.